Long non-coding RNA from Myxocyprinus asiaticus (Chinese sucker), 3208 nucleotides. RefSeq lists it as uncharacterized. The record is from RefSeq and is a predicted model, not a curated record. NCBI's taxonomy places the organism in Eukaryota, Metazoa, Chordata, Actinopteri, Cypriniformes, Catostomidae. The transcript is spliced from 6 exons.
CCACUGUUUUUAUCCCACAGUUAAAAUUGCAAAAUGGACAGCUGAUCAUAUAUCAGUAUUCACUACAGAAGUGUCAUUCUUCUAGCUCUUGAAUGGGUAAAAAUACAACAAUGAGUACAGCAAUACAGUAUAUACAGACUCAUUAUCAGCACUAACAAACAUGCCAGUCAACAUCAAGACAAGACGAGUAUGAAGUCCUACAGAGUCUGUUUAGGGGAUGGCACUUAAGGCCGAUUUAUACUUCUGUGUAAAACCUACACCAUAGGAUACGAGUAGCUACAUGCACUUCUUCAAAAAUGUAACUGCGCAUCGUGUCGACACAGAUCACAACAGCUGUGAUUGGUCCGCUUUGUUACCAGAGACCGCCCACCAGCAUGACAAGAAAUAAUCUGAGGUAGCAGCGCAUUUUUUCCAAGAUUAUUUUAUCUAUGCAUCGUAUGUAUCCACUGAUCAGUGAUUGUGUCACAUGGUAUUUGGAGUUAUAUUCUGUUUAUUUCAUGAACAAGCAAAAACUCAACAAAAGACACAUCUGUUUACAACUUAUAAACAGAUGUGUUUACAACUUCUUUCCCGGGUCUUGUUCACUAUAUAUCUGGUAUGUAAAACAAUACUUCUACUUGAGAACUUUCCAAUCUGUAUAAUGUUUUGACCAUAUGUUUGACAGUACGGUGGAGUAAAUAAUCAUAUUUCAUAAGUAAUGAGAAUGAAACACUUUUGUAUUUGUCAGCUGUUCUGGGAUAAAGAAUCAAGAGGGAGACAUCUGUAUAAUAUUCAAAAGCAGGUUGGUGCUGAGAGGGUUAAAUAUGGCAACAGGGGUCUGGGUAUCUCAGCGAGUAUUGACGCUGACUAACACCCCUGGAGUCACGAGUUCAAAUCCAGGGCAUGCUGAGUGACUCCAGACAGGUCUCCUUAGCAACCAAAUUGGCUCGGUUGCUAGGGAGGGUAGAGUCACAUGGGGUAACCUCCUCGUGGUCGCUAUAAUGUGGUUUGUUCUCGGUGGGGCGUGAAGCCUCCACACGCGCUAUGUCUCCAUAGUAAUGCGCUCAACAAGCCACGUGAUAAGAUGUGUGGAUUGACGGUCUCAGACGCGGAGGCAACUGAGAUUCGUCCUCCGCCACCCGGAUUGAGGCAAGUCACUACGCCACCCCGAGGACUUAGAGCACAUUGGGAAUUGGGCAUUCCAUAUUGGGCAGAAAAGGGGAGAAAAAAAAAUAUAUGGCAACAGACGAAAAGACGUUAUUAUACCUUGACUGCAUAUUGGAAAUUCUGUCUUAAAUUAUAAUUUGUACAUAAUUGUAAAGCAAGAGUCUAGUGACUGUGGAAACUGUAGUCGACCAGAGACAGUAGAGCAUGUACUUCUAAACUGUGUUGCAUAUAAAAGAGAAAGAUUUCGACAAUUUGAGGCACUAAGAUCAAUGUGAAUCCACAAUACUUCACUCCAGGUCCUUUUAAGUAAUGGCCCAAAGCAAUCAAGAAUAUAUAAUGAGUUGUUUAAUUAUUAGAAAUAGACUGGACUGGAUUGGAUUUAGGAUAUAUAUAAUUUUUAAUAAUUUAAUUCUAUCUUUUUGCCUCUUUCAAACGAUUUUUUCACUCCUGUAGGUGCCGGAAAUGCAUAUUUUACGUUGGUUUGCCAACCGCCAAUAAAACGCCAGAAGAAGUGUUGAACCAAUCACAGCUAACUUUUCGCAUGACAUAGGUCAAUUUAAAACUGAGAAAUGGCGGCCGGUAGUUUAGGAUGCCUAAACUUGAGAAUGUAGAUUAUUUCAUGGACACAUAUCAAUGGACUUUGGAUGGACUAUCUUCUGGACAAACAGCGAAAUCAACCGUUGUGAUAUAAAAUGUUUAUCACCGCAUCCUACAAACAGAUGGACUCAACGGAGCUCUGAACGGAGCUUACAUAAGAUGAAACUGAUUUCUGCUUGAAGAAGAACAGGACAGUGAAACACUAAAAAACAAACAUUUACAACAAAAGGUGUUUCCCAUCACUAGACGAAGCUGGCGCUUGCUUGAUGAAUUAGUGUGAUGGGGAGGUCUACGUUCCACAAAAGUGUUACCUCAACUCCCUCAAAUAACAAAAGCAUUCAAAAGAAGCGGUUCAGAUGCAACUUCAACACCAUCCAUGAGGCAACUAAGUUCUGUUGUGAGCUGAGUUCCUGCUUAGACCUGAUGCUGUGGUCCAUUCUCAAGAUCACUGCUACAUGAGAUAGCAAAACUGGAAAUAAUGAUGAAGCAAAGGAGGAACCAAUGUGUUGUGGAAGAUCAGUAGUCAAAUAACAUCAGAGAUCACAGCUGUUAAUCGUUUAGAGCAAAGUGUCUUACCAUUGAGGACUUCGCAUUGAUCCAGUCCAGAAACAAGAAUGGUGGUACUUGGGGUCGUUGGGUGGCAUUGACAUAAAGGACACAGUCUGGAGAAUAAUGAAACAGACCAUACAAAAAGAUUUAGCAAAAAUGUUCAACUGGAGAGGUGUGAAUAGGAAGAAGCCUGGAUCUUAAGAGGUGUGUGAUUGGUUGUUAGACAAAAUCCAAAGUGGUGCCAUCUCACAGAGGCACAAAAUCACUUUUUCGGACUUUCAAGAAACAUCUGAAGAUGCAUCUCUUUUGUGAGCACUUGACCCAAUCCCACUAAUGCACAAACUGUCUUGCUUCUACCUAAAAAACAACACGGUCUCUCUGCUUCCUCCCUACUUGUACUUCUCUGAGCAAUUUGAAACUUUGUAUUGCAGCACUUCUCAUGCCUCAUUAGGAUGAAUCACUUUUGCUGUUUUCUUAAUUUGUAAGUCUCUUUUCUCUGCUAGAUGAAUAAAUGUAUAUGUAAACAAGGAGACCGAAGAUAAGCACUCUACAAUAAACAGCAUGUGAGCAUAUAUGGGAAAACUCUAAUAUCAAAACUGUAAUUUUGAAUGAUAGCUUAUGAACUUGUUUCUUUUAUUUUUAGGUUGCUUUUAUUUUUAACAGUUCAGUUUAACAUUUCUUUUUUCCAAACUUUUUUUAUUUAUAAUUUUUACACUCAUUGUUUGUUUCAGUUCUAUUGUCUUUUGCAGCUUAUUUGAUUGUUCAUCAUUUGUAUGUUUAUUGCUUGCUUUUGUAAUAUUAAUGUAUCCAUUUCAUAGUUUACAUUUGCAUAUUUUACAAUUUUCUUUAGAUAUGGUUUUAUUUUUUAAUGUUGAACAAUUUUUACAUUUAUUGCUUGCUUUUGUUAUAUUGUCUU